This 334-nucleotide ribosomal RNA is filed under the name uncultured Actinomycetes bacterium. RNAcentral's name for it is "bacterial SSU rRNA". It matches the Rfam family "Bacterial small subunit ribosomal RNA", at positions 568 to 898 of the family's 1533-position model. The record is from RNAcentral. Lineage: Bacteria; Bacillati; Actinomycetota; Actinomycetes.
CUCGUAGGCGGCUUAGUAAGUCGGGUGUGAAACCUCCAGGCUCAACCUGGAGACGCCACCCGAUACUGCUGUGGCUAGAGUCCGGUAGGGGAGCGUGGAAUUCCUGGUGUAGCGGUGAAAUGCGCAGAUAUCAGGAGGAACACCAGCGGCGAAGGCGGCGCUCUGGGCCGGUACUGACGCUGAGGAGCGAAAGCGUGGGGAGCAAACAGGAUUAGAUACCCUGGUAGUCCACGCCGUAAACGUUGGGCACUAGGUGUGGGUCGUUAUCAACGCGAUCUGUGCCGUAGCUAACGCAUUAAGUGCCCCGCCUGGGGAGUACGGCCGCAAGGCUAAA